ACAUGCCCGUCACACUUACGGGCUUACUUGUGGCAGGCGCUGGCUAACAACCGCCACAGUUGGGCUCUUCCAAAUAUGCCCCCUGCCUAGAAAUUGUAGUGGCGAGCGCCGGGAAAGUGCCCGCCACUGGUAUGUGGGUAAGUAGUGGAUGGCUCCUAUAGGCGCCCGCCAUAGCUGCAUUUUCGCAAGUGCGCGAACUAAAUUAAAGUUUGGAUAAUUUUGAUGUGGCGGGUGCUCGUUGUUGCCCGCCACUGCUCACGACACACAGUUCCCCUUCCGUGCCCCCUAAGCAACCACCCAAAGACACAUUCAUUUCCACUAUUUCGUCUUUCUCUCUUCCAUUUCCUCUCCCUCGUCCCCUUCCUCGCCGUCCUGCGCCUUGACCACCGCCGCUGUCCCUCCGACCAGCCGGCGGCGCCUUCCACACGUCCGGCGCCGUGAGACGCGCCAUCCUCCGCCUCGACUGCCGCCGCGCGUUCCCCGCCUCGACCGAGUGCUGCACCUGCCCUCCGCCUCGACCGUCGCCGUCGUCCUCCGCUUCGACCACCGCUAAAUCUGACAAGUGGCAAUGAGUGAUGACGAUGACGAUGAUCGGUAUCAUGAUGAUAGCCAAGAUCACCAGCAUGACGGAGACAUCCAAGAUGACGAGGGCAUCCAUGAAGAUGAGGACAUAUAGGAUGAUGAUGACAGCUAGAAUGACGAGGAUGAGCAAGAUGAUGAUGACGACGAAGAUGUUGACAAUGAUCCAUUCAGUUCAGCAAUUUUCUCUAAAAGCUUGAGGAAGCCUACUCGGGAUGAGACCCUGAUUGUUUCCGUGAUGUUACCAUCGAGUGUCCUGUGUUCGGAAGCCCUUUGUGCACCGUUUACCAAAAACCAACGUAAAAAAAUGGAGUUCAAAAGUAACCAAUGAAGAUGUUUUGAGUGGAAAUCCCCGCCUUCGGCAUCGCUGGAGUACGCCAUGGACCAACAGGUCGUGUCACUAGUGUUUAGUACAAGCCAGAAUCGGAUGGACACAUAUCCUUCUAUGAGUCCGGCUGGCGAGAGUUCUUGAUGGGAAAGAGAGAACUAAGGAUGUACACCAUUGUUAUAGUCACCAUAAGGAAGAGCAACCGCAAUGACUUUCAGAUGAUGGUUGUCGUCGACCAUGUUUAGAAAUACAGUCUAAGUCAUGAAUAUAUCUGCACCUGAACUGUUAGUGAACUAGUUUGUUAAGAUGGAUGUGAUACAUGGAUGUUUAAUUAUUUCUU
Triticum urartu is the source of this 1247-nucleotide non-coding RNA. The record is from RefSeq and is a predicted model, not a curated record. NCBI's taxonomy places the organism in Eukaryota, Viridiplantae, Streptophyta, Magnoliopsida, Poales, Poaceae.